Molecule: ribosomal RNA, 739 nt
Filed under: Myrmaecium fulvopruinatum
Lineage: Eukaryota; Fungi; Ascomycota; Dothideomycetes; Valsariales; Valsariaceae
Description: LSU rRNA
Rfam family: Eukaryotic large subunit ribosomal RNA
Source: RNAcentral
AAUUUGCAGAGGAUGCUUCGGUGUCGGCACCGGUCUAAGUUCCUUGGAACAGGACGUCACAGAGGGUGAGAAUCCCGUAUGUGAUCGGCUGCCAUCGCCAUGUGAAGCUCCUUCGACGAGUCGAGUUGUUUGGGAAUGCAGCUCUAAAUGGGAGGUAAAUUUCUUCUAAAGCUAAAUACUGGCCAGAGACCGAUAGCGCACAAGUAGAGUGAUCGAAAGAUGAAAAGCACUUUGGAAAGAGAGUUAAACAGCACGUGAAAUUGUUGAAAGGGAAGCGGUUGCCACCAGACUUGACCACGGGCGCUCAGCCGGGCUUCUGCCCGGUGCACUCGCUCGUGGCCAGGCCAGCAUCAGUUCGGGCGGUCGGACAAAGGUCCUGGGAAUGUAGCUCCCCUCGGGGAGUGUUAUAGCCCAGGGCGUAAUACGGCCAGCCUGGACUGAGGUCCGCGCUUCGGCUAGGAUGCUGGCGUAAUGGUUGCAACCGGCCCGUCUUGAAACACGGACCAAGGAGUCUAACAUCUAUGCGAGUGUUUGGGUGUCAAACCCAUACGCGUAAUGAAAGUGAACGGAGGUGGGAGCCCCAAGGCGCACCAUCGACCGAUCCUGAUGUCUUCGGAUGGAUUUGAGUAUGAGCAUGGCUGUUGGGACCCGAAAGAUGGUGAACUAUGCCUGAAUAGGGUGAAGCCAGAGGAAACUCUGGUGGAGGCUCGCAGCGGUUCUGACGUGCAAAUCGAUCGUC